Molecule: transfer RNA, 78 nt
Filed under: Rickettsiales bacterium
Lineage: Bacteria; Pseudomonadati; Pseudomonadota; Alphaproteobacteria; Rickettsiales
Description: tRNA-Asp
Rfam family: tRNA
About the family: Transfer RNA (tRNA) molecules are approximately 80 nucleotides in length. Their secondary structure includes four short double-helical elements and three loops (D, anti-codon, and T loops).
Source: RNAcentral
GGGGGUGUAGUUCAGUUGGUUUAGAACGCCGGCCUGUCACGCCGGAGGUCGCGGGUUCGAGUCCCGUCCGGUCCGCCA